AUAAAUAGAACUACAGUCAUGCCUCACAAGGGGGACAUGCUCUGAGUAAUGUGGCGUUAGCCAAUUUUGUUGUUGUGUGGACAUGACAGUGUACCUGGACUAACCUAGGUUGUCCACCCUACUGCACACUGGGGCUAUGUGGUAGGGCCUGUUGCUCCUGGGCUACGCACCUGUGCAGCGUGUGACUGUACUGCAUGCUGCAGGCAAUGGAAACAUGACGGUAGGUGUCUGUGUAUCUAAGCCUCUCUAAAUGUAGAAAAGGUGCACCAAAAAUACAGCAUUAUAAUCUUACGGGACCACCCUUGUAAUCCAGUCUGUUGCCGACCUAGAGGUCUAGGUGACACAUGACUGCACACCCACCCAAGUUAAAUAAAAUAUCCUUCUCUCAAGAGCACACAGAACCUUUACAAAACUUGACCACAUUUCAAAUCACAAAGUAAGUCUCAAAACUACCGAAAAAACAUCAAUAUCACUCAGAUCAUGUUCUCUGACUGCAAUUUGAUAAAAAUUCAUUUCUAAAUGAUUUGUGGUUAAAAGGAGAUAAGAAAAUGGAAAAGAGAACAGACUUGAAACCAAAAAUUAAUGAAAAUGCUACUUAUCAAAAUGCGUGUGAUGCCGUCAAGGCAGUACUUAAAAUAAAAUUUAUACCUUCAAAACGACUACGUUUGACAAGGGAGAGAGAUGAUAAAAAUUAAUGACUGAAACGUCCUACUCAAAAAAAAUUAGAAAAAGAACAAGAUAAAGCUCAAGAAAGUAGAAAGGAAAAAUAAUUUAAAUAAAUAAGUAGACAUGAGUAGAACACGGGUCUUGGGCAUGAGUUAGGGCAGGCACAGAAGCCAACGGUGAAAGUUUCCGGGGCGGAGGUCCUCAGACCCAGGGGUUUAUUCCAUCACCUCUGCCCUUUCAUCAGGAAGAGUGUCUCAGAAUAGGAAAGCCUUUUAGGUUUUAUGAAGGGGAACUUCCCAUUGUUUGACAAAGGCCAUGACUCUAAACUGGUGGAGAGACUGAGUUCUGCUCGCCCUACAAAACCUUACUCUGAUGUGUUGAAUUUUGUCUCCAAAAAAUGGUAUGUAAUGGAAUACUAAAAAAUACUUGACUCAGCCAAAAUAAAGCAGGAAAGAAAAGAAAAAGAAUCAAAGUGUGUGGGAGAAUGGAGAAAACAAGUAGCAAAGUGGUACACUUAAUCCCAAACAUAUCUACAAUUACAUUAAAUGUAAAUGGAUCAAACACACCAAUUAUAAAUCACAGUUUCUCAGGCUAGAUUAAAAAUGAAAGACUCAACUACAUCCUGUCUAUGAGAGGGACGUUUUAAAUGGAAAGACACAGAUAAGGUGAAAGUAAAGGAUUAAAAAAGAUAUGACAUGCAAGCAAGAAGCAAAAGAAACUUGGGUGGCUAUAUCAGACAUAGUAAAGUUCCAGGAAAAGUGUUAUACAGGUGAAGAGGGCCAUUUCAUAGUGACAAUUGAAAAAAUCCAUCAAGAAGUUGAAAAACACAAACUAAAACUUAAUGUAUAUAAUAUCUAAUGAAGGAACUUCCAAAAUACAUGAAGCAAAAAUUGACAGAACU
This 1567-nucleotide long non-coding RNA is filed under the name Homo sapiens (human). Its description in RNAcentral is "non-protein coding lnc-FAM19A5-13:1". The record is from RNAcentral. Lineage: Eukaryota; Metazoa; Chordata; Mammalia; Primates; Hominidae.